Molecule: long non-coding RNA, 483 nt
Filed under: Mytilus galloprovincialis (Mediterranean mussel)
Lineage: Eukaryota; Metazoa; Mollusca; Bivalvia; Mytilida; Mytilidae
Source: RNAcentral
AAAAUGUUGAGAAUGAAAAGCUCUAACUAAGGAACAUUUAGGCCAAAAGUGCCGGAUGCCCCUACAUAGGGGUUAUUGCCCAUAAAUGACCAUUUUUGUCAAGCUUAACGAUUUAGCUAUUACCGAUUAAACUAUAAUAGUUAGGGAAAAACUUUGAAUUGUAAAAUUGAUCAGCACUUGAAUCUCUGCCAAAUAUUUAAUUUUAUCAAAUUAAUCAGAUGGCUCCUUGUCGAAGUUAUUAAUGUUGAUUUUUGACCGAUUUUAGUAUUUUUAUACGACUGCAAAAAUUUGCUGUCGUAUAUUGGUAUUGCCCCUGGUCGUCGUUGGCAGUGUCGGUGGCGUUGUCCGGAUUAAUGGUAUCCGUGCAUUAACUUGAGUUCUGAUUGAGCAAAUGCUAUGAAAUUUUAACACAAGGUAUAUAACCAUAAAAUACAGCUUGGGAUUGUUUUUGGGGUUAUGCCCCCGCUGGUUCAUGAAAUAGGG